GGCGCCUCCCGGAACGCGCUCCUGGCCUGCGGGUGCUGCCCGCUCAGUCUCCGGGUGGGAAGUGCGCUCGCCCCGGUCCGAGGGGAAAGCCCAGCAUCCCCGGCAGGGAACAGAGAGGCGGCCACCCGCGAGUGGGCGUGACCCAUUGGUUCCCUUGCGCAGCAUCUUUGGAGAAUUAAGCUUUCCCCUCCUCUCUUGCCAGCCGUUGUUCCUAAUCUUGUCUUUUUUAAGGGAGGAAAGCAGGAGAACUCAUGACACUUUGUGUCACAGGAUAUCAAGUUGGUGGACAGAGGGUUUGCUGAACUCUCCGUCCCUCCUCAGGGUCCCUAGGAGAAUUUUUGAAGAAGUAAUCGGCAGCAAGGAGACGGGGGCAAUAGAGAGUCUCAGACUCGCAGGGACCCAUGUUCGUCCCCAGCGCCACUACUUUCAAACCGUUAUCCCUCAGAGCUGUUUCCUCACCUCCACAACUCUCCCGGGUUCGAUGACACUAUAUAUCCCACCAGUUCAUCUCGGUACAGGCCAAAAGCACCUGUGAGCACUACUGCAAGCCAGAGCUUGUCAGCUGGGCUUAUUUCAUCACUGAAUAAUGGCCAUGAAAAGAUGUCCGAGUUCUAAUCCUUGGAACCAGUGAUUGGUGCCUUACCUGGCAAAAGGAACUUUGCAGAUAUAAUAAAGGAUCUUGAAGUGGGAAGGUUAUCCUGGGCUUCCGGGUUACCCUAGUUGGCCCAAUUGUAAACAUAAGGUACUUAUAGGAAGGAGUCAAGAAAGUCAAAGGCAGAAGAAAAAGAUGGGAUGAUGGAAACAGAGGUUGAAAUCAUGCACUUUGAAGAUGGAGGAAGGUGGUCAUCAACAAAAGAAUAUAGGUGAUCUCUGGAAACUAGAAAAAGUGAAAAAAGGAUUCUCCUCUAGAGUCUUCCAAAUGGAACACCGGUCUACUAACAUCUUGAUUUUAGCCCAGUUAAACUGGUUUUAGACUGACCUCCAGAGCUAUAAGAUUAAAAAAUUUGUGUUGUUUUAAGCCA
This is a long non-coding RNA of Pan troglodytes (chimpanzee), 1022 nucleotides long. RefSeq lists it as uncharacterized. Lineage: Eukaryota; Metazoa; Chordata; Mammalia; Primates; Hominidae. The transcript is spliced from 2 exons. The record is from RefSeq and is a predicted model, not a curated record.